UCGGUGACCCGAGUCUUACGUGUGAUCCGCUCUUAGACGGGUUCAAGACACGUGUUCGUAAGGCAUUGGCCCCGCGUUUUCGAGUUUACGCGAAGCAUUGACCGAGACCAUUCAUUUUCUUUUGUUCUUCGAUAGCUAGGGUUUCUCUCCUCCGAAAGGCGAUUGAGAGGCGAUUCUCGUGCGACGGCGAGUUCUGAAGCUUUUCACCAUCAAAUCGACGAAGAACGGUUCCCUUCACGAGCUCAGAGAUGGAUCCCGCAGCAGAGAGAAGAGACAUGAAGAGGAACAUUGAGUACAACAACAGUUUGAUCUAUGUGGCGGAUUCAGAGUACGGGAUACCAAGUAGGUGUUACUGUGGUGGGAAAAUGAUAGACGAAGUUCAGGGGAAGGAGGAGAGAGACACUCUUCCGGGGAAGCGCUUCUUCACCUGCAUAAACUACGAGGCUGAUGGGCUCCAUUAUCGUCAGCCUUAGGUGUUUGGUGUCCAGGAGGAGAUCGAGAAGCUGACUGCCCGGCUGGAGAAGGCUGAGAAGGUGAUCAAGGAGGAGUUCACAGGUGGAAAUCUCGCAACCUACGGACUCUCCUUCCAACUUCGUUAAUAGGCAUGGCAUUCAAGCUCAAAU
Raphanus sativus (radish) is the source of this 623-nucleotide long non-coding RNA. RefSeq lists it as uncharacterized. NCBI's taxonomy places the organism in Eukaryota, Viridiplantae, Streptophyta, Magnoliopsida, Brassicales, Brassicaceae. The record is from RefSeq and is a predicted model, not a curated record. The transcript has 3 exons.